CGGCGGACGGGUGAGUAAUGCAUAGGAAACUGCCCAGUAGUGGGGGAUAGCCCGGGGAAACCCGGAUUAAUACCGCAUACGCCCUUUGGGGGAAAGCAGGGGAUCUUCGGACCUUGCGCUAUUGGAUGUGCCUAUGUCGGAUUAGCUAGUUGGUGGGGUAAGAGCCUACCAAGGCGACGAUCCGUAGCUGGUCUGAGAGGAUGAUCAGCCACAUCGGGACUGAGACACGGCCCGA
This 235-nucleotide ribosomal RNA is filed under the name uncultured bacterium. RNAcentral describes it as "partial 16S ribosomal RNA". It matches the Rfam family "Bacterial small subunit ribosomal RNA", at positions 96 to 334 of the family's 1533-position model. The record is from RNAcentral.